CUUAGAAGCAGCCACACAUUCAAAGAGUGCGUAAUAGCUCACUAGUCGAGAGGUCCUGCGCCGAAAAUUUCCGGGGCUGAAACACGAUACCGAAGCUUAGGAAUGUAGCAAUACAUUGGUAGAGGAGCAAUCUCAGAGUGCCGAAGCGCUACCGCAAGGAAGCGUGGAGUUCUGAGAAGAGAGAAUGCCGGAAUGAGUAGCGAGAAUGAUGUGAGAAUCAUCAUGGCCGAAUAUCCAAGGAUUCCAGGGUAAAGCUGAUCUGCCCUGGGUAAGUCGGGACCUAAGGCGAGGGAGAGAUCCGUAGUCGAUGGACAGCAGGUUCAUAUUCCUGCACCUGACAUGAUCAGAACUGUGGGGACACAGGAACAAAACCGGACCCGGGAGAGCAAAGACCGGGCGAAGCGAAGCUAGGAGUGCGGUAGGCAAAUCCGCCGCACAAUCCGAAAGCGUGACAGGGAGCGAAAUAUAAGUAGCGAAGCCGGUGGAGGGACUGUCGAGAAAAGCCGCUAUUGUAUCAUGUCAGCCCGUACCGCAAACCGACACAGGUGGAUGAGGAGAGAAUCCUAAGGCCGGCGGGAGAAGCAUUGUUAAGGAACUCGGCAAAAUGACCCCGUAACUUCGGGAGAAGGGGUGCCAUCCUCCGGGAUGGCCACAGAAAAUAGGCUCAAGCAACUGUUUAGCAAAAACACAGGUCUAUGCGAAACCGAAAGGUGAGGUAUAUGGGCUGACGCCUGCCCGGUGCUGGAAGGUUAAGAGGAGAAGUCAGGCAACGAAGCUUUGAAUUGAAGCCCCAGUAAACGGCGGCCGUAACUAUAACGGUCCUAAGGUAGCGAAAUUCCUUGUCGGGUAAGUUCCGACCCGCACGAAAGGCGUAAUGAUUUGAGCACUGUCUCAACAAUGCACCCGGUGAAAUUGAAGUACCAGUGAAGAUGCUGGUUACCUGCGCCAGGACGGAAAGACCCCAUGGAGCUUUACUCUAGUUUGAUACUGGGAUUCGAUUAUACCUGUACAGGAUAGGUGGGAGGCGAAGAAGCAAGGACGCCAGUCUUUGCAGAGCCGCUGUUGGGAUACCACCCUUGUAUGAUUGGAUUUCUAACCUGCACCCGUGAUCCGGGUGGGGGACACUGUCAGAUGGGGAGUUUGACUGGGGCGGUCGCCUCCGAAAGGGUAUCGGAGGCGCUCAAAGGUUCCCUCAGAAUGGUCGGAAACCAUUCAAAGAGUGCAAAGGCAGAAGGGAGCUUGACUGCGACACCGACGGGUGGAGCAGGUACGAAAGUAGGACUUAGUGAUCCGGUGGUAUAAAGUGGGAUUGCCAUCGCUCAACGGAUAAAAGCUACCCUGGGGAUAACAGGCUUAUCACUCCCAAGAGUUCACAUCGACGGAGUGGUUUGGCACCUCGAUGUCGGCUCAUCGCAUCCUGGGGCUGAAGUCGGUCCCAAGGGUUGGGCUGUUCGCCCAUUAAAGCGGUACGCGAGCUGGGUUCAGAACGUCGUGAGACAGUUCGGUCCCUAUCCGGCGUGGGCGUAAGAUAUUUGAGAGGAGCUGUCCUUAGUACGAGAGGACCGGGAUGGACUGACCGCUGGUGCACCUGUUGGGGAGCAACCCCAUCGCAGGGUAGCCAAGUCGGGCCGGGAUAAACGCUGAAGGCAUCUAAGCGUGAAGCCCCCCUCAAGAUGAGAUAUCUCAUACGCAAGUAGUAAGACCCCUUGAAGACGACGAGGUAGAUAGGGCAGAGGUGUAAGUGUGGCAACAUACUUAGCUGACUGUUACUAAUCGGUCGAGGGUUUAACCAA
Molecule: ribosomal RNA, 1793 nt
Filed under: human oral metagenome
Description: bacterial LSU rRNA
Rfam family: Bacterial large subunit ribosomal RNA
Source: RNAcentral